This 363-nucleotide ribosomal RNA is filed under the name uncultured bacterium. RNAcentral describes it as "bacterial SSU rRNA". It matches the Rfam family "Archaeal small subunit ribosomal RNA", at positions 723 to 1087 of the family's 1478-position model. The record is from RNAcentral.
AGUGAAUAGAUACCCAGGUAGUCCCAGCCGUAAACGAUGCUCGCUAGGUGUCAGGCAUGGCGCGACCGUGUCUGGUGCCGCAGGGAAGCCGUGAAGCGAGCCACCUGGGAAGUACGGCCGCAAGGCUGAAACUUAAAGGAAUUGGCGGGGGAGCACAACAACGGGUGGAGCCUGCGGUUUAAUUGGACUCAACGCCGGACAACUCACCGGGGGGCGACAGCAAUAUGUAGGCCAAGCUGAAGACUUUGCCUGAAUCGCUGAGAGGAGGUGCAUGGCCGUCGCCAGUUCGUACUGUGAAGCAUCCUGUUAAGUCAGGCAACGAGCGAGACCCGUGCCCACUGUUACCAGCAUGUCCUGGUACGA